CAAAAAUGCCAUAUCAACCUGCAGUCCAAGACUGGUUACUCACUGAAGCUAAGUAGGGCUGAGCCUGGUCAGUACCUGGAUGGGAGACCACAUGGGAAAAUAAGGUUGCUGUUGU
Danio rerio (zebrafish) is the source of this 115-nucleotide ribosomal RNA. Lineage: Eukaryota; Metazoa; Chordata; Actinopteri; Cypriniformes; Danionidae. The record is from Ensembl.